AGCUCCAAUAGCGUAUAUUAAAGUUGUUGCAGUUAAAAAGCUCGUAGUUGGAUUUGGGACGUGGGUCGCACGGUCGGCCGCAAGGUCUGUUACUGUGCGGCCUCGUCAUUUACACUCUCGGAGACCCGUCGUGCACUUCGCUGUGCUGCGGCGUUGGGACUCGGGACGUUUACUUUGAAAAAAUUAGAGUGUUCAAAGCAGGCUCUCCCAGCCCGGAUACAUGAGCAUGGAAUAAUGGAAUAGGAUUGCGGUCCUAUUUUGUUGGUUUCUACGACCGCAGUAAUGAUUAAGAGGGACAAUUGGGGGCGUCCGUAUUUCGUUGUCAGAGGUGAAAUUCUUGGAUUUACGAAAGACGAACAACUGCGAAAGCAUUCGCCAAGAGUGUUUUCAUUAAUCAAGA
This 400-nucleotide ribosomal RNA is filed under the name phytoplankton environmental sample. RNAcentral describes it as "partial small subunit ribosomal RNA". It matches the Rfam family "Eukaryotic small subunit ribosomal RNA", at positions 587 to 982 of the family's 1831-position model. The record is from RNAcentral.